RNAcentral lists this ribosomal RNA (1360 nucleotides) under Arthrobacter psychrochitiniphilus. RNAcentral describes it as "bacterial SSU rRNA". It matches the Rfam family "Bacterial small subunit ribosomal RNA", at positions 84 to 1443 of the family's 1533-position model. Lineage: Bacteria; Bacillati; Actinomycetota; Actinomycetes; Micrococcales; Micrococcaceae. The record is from RNAcentral.
CGGGGGGAUUAGUGGCGAACGGGUGAGUAACACGUGAGUAACCUGCCCUUAACUCUGGGAUAAGCCUUGGAAACGGGGUCUAAUACUGGAUAUUGACUUUACCUCGCAUGGGGUUUGGUUGAAAGAUUUAUUGGUUUUGGAUGGACUCGCGGCCUAUCAGCUUGUUGGUGAGGUAAUGGCUCACCAAGGCGACGACGGGUAGCCGGCCUGAGAGGGUGACCGGCCACACUGGGACUGAGACACGGCCCAGACUCCUACGGGAGGCAGCAGUGGGGAAUAUUGCACAAUGGGCGAAAGCCUGAUGCAGCGACGCCGCGUGAGGGAUGACGGCCUUCGGGUUGUAAACCUCUUUCAGUAGGGAACAAGGCCAGCAUUUUUGUUGGUUGAGGGUACUUGCAGAAGAAGCGCCGGCUAACUACGUGCCAGCAGCCGCGGUAAUACGUAGGGCGCAAGCGUUAUCCGGAAUUAUUGGGCGUAAAGAGCUCGUAGGCGGUUUGUCGCGUCUGCCGUGAAAGUCCGGGGCUCAACUCCGGAUCUGCGGUGGGUACGGGCAGACUAGAGUGAUGUAGGGGAGACUGGAAUUCCUGGUGUAGCGGUGAAAUGCGCAGAUAUCAGGAGGAACACCGAUGGCGAAGGCAGGUCUCUGGGCAUUAACUGACGCUGAGGAGCGAAAGCAUGGGGAGCGAACAGGAUUAGAUACCCUGGUAGUCCAUGCCGUAAACGUUGGGCACUAGGUGUGGGGGACAUUCCACGUUUUCCGCGCCGUAGCUAACGCAUUAAGUGCCCCGCCUGGGGAGUACGGCCGCAAGGCUAAAACUCAAAGGAAUUGACGGGGGCCCGCACAAGCGGCGGAGCAUGCGGAUUAAUUCGAUGCAACGCGAAGAACCUUACCAAGGCUUGACAUGAACUGGAAAUACCUGGAAACAGGUGCCCCGCUUGCGGUCGGUUUACAGGUGGUGCAUGGUUGUCGUCAGCUCGUGUCGUGAGAUGUUGGGUUAAGUCCCGCAACGAGCGCAACCCUCGUUCUAUGUUGCCAGCACGUUAUGGUGGGGACUCAUAGGAGACUGCCGGGGUCAACUCGGAGGAAGGUGAGGACGACGUCAAAUCAUCAUGCCCCUUAUGUCUUGGGCUUCACGCAUGCUACAAUGGCCGGUACAAUGGGUUGCGAUACUGUGAGGUGGAGCUAAUCCCAAAAAGCCGGUCUCAGUUCGGAUUGGGGUCUGCAACUCGACCCCAUGAAGUCGGAGUCGCUAGUAAUCGCAGAUCAGCAACGCUGCGGUGAAUACGUUCCCGGGCCUUGUACACACCGCCCGUCAAGUCACGAAAGUUGGUAACACCCGAAGCCGGUGGCCUAACCCCC